AUCCUAUUAUAUUUCAUAAGCAUGAUUGGGUUUAUACACCAUUGUGUGAGAUGUGCCUCAAAUCUUUUUUUAUAAUAUCAGCACAUGUCCCAUCUGAAG
Small nucleolar RNA from Sciurus carolinensis (gray squirrel), 99 nucleotides. RefSeq annotates it as small nucleolar RNA U13. NCBI's taxonomy places the organism in Eukaryota, Metazoa, Chordata, Mammalia, Rodentia, Sciuridae. The record is from RefSeq and is a predicted model, not a curated record. The transcript has a single exon.